AUUGAAAAGAUUAAAUUUAAUAUUUAAAAUUUUAAAUUUAAAUAUAAAAUUUUUUAUUUAUUUGUUUUAUUUAUUUAUUGAUUUUUAAAGUUAUAUAAAAAAAUUUUGUUUUAUUAUUUUUUUAGAAAUAAUUAUUUUAUUAAUAGUAUUUAGUAAUGUGAAUGAAAAAUUUAAAUAAAAAGAAGUAGAAAUGUUUUUGUACCUUUUGUAUCAGGGUUGAUUAAAAUUAUUUUAAUAAUAUUAAAUAUCUCGAAAAUAAAAGAGCUAAAUUUAUAAAAUUUUUUUUGUGGCAAUAAAAUUAUAAAUAUAGAUUUAGAAAUUAAAUGUUAAUCGAAUUUAUUAAUAUCUAGUUUUUUUAGAAAUAAAUUUAAUUUAGAUAUAAAUAUUUUAUAAAAUAAAAAUUGUUUUUUUUUUUAUAAUUUUUAUAUUAAAAAUUUAUGGGAUAACCUAUAAAUUUAAUAAUAAAAAUAAGUAUUUUAAUAUUUAAAAUUUUAUGGAUAUAAAAUUUAUUUUUAAUUUAAAAAAUUUAAUAAUUAGUUAUUUAGUAUAUAAUAAUAUAUUUAUAUAUAAAUAAAGAUUUAAGAAUUUAUAUUUUAUUUAUCUAUAAAAAUAUAUAUUUAAAUUUUUAAAAUAUAGAAAUAAUGAUUAAAUUAGUAAUAUGUAAUAUAAUAUAAAUUAUUAAUUAAUAAAUUAUAUAAUUUAAAGGAACUCGGCAAAAUUAUUAUUCACCUGUUUAUCAAAAACAUGUCCUAUUGAUAAUAAUUUUAGGUCGAUCUGCUCAAUGAAAUAUUUUUAAUAGCUGCAGUAUAUUGACUGUACAAAGGUAGCAUAAUAAAUUGUCUUUUAAUUGAAGAAUUGAAUGAACGAAUUAAUGAAAUAAUAACUGUCUCUGAAUUAUUAAAUGAAUUUAAAUUUUUAGUUAAAAUUCUAAAAUUUAAUUAUGGGACGAUAAGACCCUAUAGAAUUUUAUUUAAUAUUUUAUUUAUUAAAUAAUUAUUAAUUUGUAAAUAAGAUUUUAAAUUUGAUUGGGAGGAUUGAUAAAUUAAUUAAACUUUAUUUAAUAUUUAAUUUUGAUUUAAAGAUAGAUAUUGAAUUAUAAUUUAUAAUUAAUAGAGUAAAUUACCUUAGGGAUAACAGCGUAAUAUCUUUUGAUAGACCAUAUAGAUAAAGAUGAUUGCGACCUCGAUGUUGAAUUAAGAUUAAAAUUAAACGCAGAAGUUUAAAUUUUGAGUCUGUUCGACUCUUAAAAUCUUACAUGAUUUGAGUUCAAAUCGACGUAAGUCAGAUUGGAUUCUAUCUAUAAUAAAAAUUAAAUUAAUUGUACGAAAGGACCUUAAUUUAUAAAUUAU
RNAcentral lists this ribosomal RNA (1349 nucleotides) under Apis dorsata (giant honeybee). RNAcentral describes it as "16S ribosomal RNA". The record is from RNAcentral. Lineage: Eukaryota; Metazoa; Arthropoda; Insecta; Hymenoptera; Apidae.